This 448-nucleotide ribosomal RNA is filed under the name uncultured bacterium. RNAcentral describes it as "SSU rRNA". It matches the Rfam family "Bacterial small subunit ribosomal RNA", at positions 26 to 518 of the family's 1533-position model. The record is from RNAcentral.
AGAGCGAACGCUGGCGGCAGGCUUAACACAUGCAAGUCGAGCGGGCGUAGCAAUACGUCAGCGGCAGACGGGUGAGUAACGCGUGGGAACAUACCUUUUGGUUCGGAACAACACAGGGAAACUUGUGCUAAUACCGGAUAAGCCCUUACGGGGAAAGAUUUAUCGCCGAAAGAUUGGCCCGCGUCUGAUUAGCUAGUUGGUGGGGUAACGGCCCACCAAGGCGACGAUCAGUAGCUGGUCUGAGAGGAUGAUCAGCCACAUUGGGACUGAGACACGGCCCAAACUCCUACGGGAGGCAGCAGUGGGGAAUAUUGGACAAUGGGCGAAAGCCUGAUCCAGCCAUGCCGCGUGAGUGAUGAAGGCCCUAGGGUUGUAAAGCUCUUUUGUGCGGGAAGAUAAUGACGGUACCGCAAGAAUAAGCCCCGGCUAACUUCGUGCCAGCAGCCGC